UAAUCCUGGAUGAAAGAAAAAUAUGGAUCUGCAAAGAUCAUCAAUAUAUAUUUUUACGAGGUAGUUUGGAAAGAUGAAGAUAAAUGAACAUACUUUAUAUAAUUAUUACUAUAUGUCUUUGGAAUGAUUGGGCUAUAUUUUGUAAGAAAAGUUGAUGAAUGUUGAAUUUUUAAUAAUCAAAGUGAAGGAAAAACUCAUCAAAUGAUUUCAUAUUAAUGACAUUUCGAUAUGAAAACUAAAAUUGUGAAAGAAAUUGACCAAAAGACAAUCAUGACCAAAUAUUUUAAUAUCCAUCUUAUAACCUUGGAUUAUAAAACAAUAUGGAUUUACAAAGGGUAUUUAAAAUAAAUCAUUAAUUAUAUUGAUUUUUGAGACUAUUUGGCAAGGCAAUGAUAAAUCAAAUGUCCUCUAUAUUGUUGUAGCUAUGCCAGAAUGUUAUUUUCACUAUGAUUAUGCUAUAUUUCCUGAUAUAAGUUGAUGAGGUAUCUUUGGA
Molecule: long non-coding RNA, 493 nt
Organism: Selaginella moellendorffii
Lineage: Eukaryota; Viridiplantae; Streptophyta; Lycopodiopsida; Selaginellales; Selaginellaceae
Exons: 4
Source: RefSeq, a predicted model, not a curated record